GAAUAAAAUAUUUACUGCCAUUUCCCUUCUAGCCUAUUCUGUUUUUUGAAAAGACACAUGGAAACAGCUUCUCUAAUACAAAUGUAUUUGCUUUAGGUUUUCCCUCCCCCUCAUCCUUUCUACCAAAAGAACUGGAGAGCUGUGGUCAAUGGCAUCACUGAAGGACGCACAGGCUGAGAGACAGUUAACUGAACACAGCGAGUGGAAAACUCCAGCCUGGAUUACCAAGCGCUUGCAAAGCAAAGCUUCUUUACGUUGUUAAUGCUGAUUUGGAUCAUAAACAAAAGUGAGUGUGACAAGUCCUCCAAGAAGAACUUCUGGAUCAUGGUGAGCUGGUGUCAUCUGGGAGCUGUGACUCCUGCAGGCUCCAGGGGUGACCAGCCGUUCAGCUGCAAGAGAACAUGUCAGAAUCCAGCAGAGACACCCAGGUUAGUUACAGAGGAAAGGAGAGAUCUGUUAUGGAGGAAAUCAUAGCUCUCUGGAAAUUGGUGACAUAGCAGUAAAGGGGAUUUAGAUGGUCCGAAAAUGAGCCCCUGAGUACCAAAUCUCUCUCUGACUCUCCUAAUAUCCCCACCAUUCUUUUGUGGAC
This 589-nucleotide long non-coding RNA is filed under the name Struthio camelus australis. Its description in RNAcentral is "lncRNA (ENSSCUG00000007105.1)". The record is from RNAcentral. Lineage: Eukaryota; Metazoa; Chordata; Aves; Struthioniformes; Struthionidae.